Mastomys coucha (southern multimammate mouse) is the source of this 887-nucleotide long non-coding RNA. RefSeq lists it as uncharacterized. The transcript is spliced from 6 exons. The record is from RefSeq and is a predicted model, not a curated record. Lineage: Eukaryota; Metazoa; Chordata; Mammalia; Rodentia; Muridae.
AAGAACACCAGUGUUUGUUGUGUAAACCUUGCCCUGAAAUGAUCUCUGGUUGGUUAAUAAAAGUUGAUGACAGCCUGCAGCUGGGCAGAAGAGAGCUUCCUCCCACGAGGGUUGGAUCCUGCACCUGGGUUUCCAGCUGCCUAAUGAAACUACGCUGUCAAUGGACAGUCCCCCCUGGAGCCAUGCCACACCCGGCCUUCUAGGAACUCCCGGCAUCUGAAUUCCACCUGUUGGUCCUGGGGAUCCAGGUCUUUCUCUACCAAACAGGCUCUCAUGUAGCCCAACCUGGCCUUUACUAUAUAACCGUGGAGAACCUUGAACUCUCUGAUCCUUCUGCCUCUAGCUCCCAAAUGCUAGGAUUACAGGAAUGUGCUAGGAUCCCUGGAUUCUUAAAGCAUACCUAUGACUUAAAUGUGACUGUGUUUACAUCGCACCUACAGAACUUUAAGUUUUUAAACAAAGAACAGUGACUCGUAUAACUCCUUCAGGAGAAGGAAGAGUAAAGCCUCUGAGCCGCCUUGCUCCAGGGAGCCUGGCUCCUCCUGGAGAGUAACUGGAAGACUCAUCACAUUGGAUGAAGACAGAGAUGCAGGAAUCCUACGCAUUUAGAAUGGAGAAAAUGGAAGAUCCAGACAAGGAUUUGCCUGAUGCCCCAGAAGCUACACCUCUUCCUGCAGACACACAGGAAGUGUCUGAUAGCCACAGGUCCUCAGAAUAGUGCCUGGCACAGAGUUCCUGGAACAAUAUGAUUACAAAGAUCUGGCACAUUUGUGUUCUCUGGGCCCAGACAUUGCACCAGCACUGACAGCUAGUGAUGAUCUGGCUUAGCAUUCUGCAACUACCUGUGUAUGUCUUGCUUCAGAGAUGGAGCAGAGAGAGGAAGAGGA